GGAAUAUUGGUCAAUGGGCGCGAGCCUGAACCAGCCAAGUAGCGUGAAGGAUGACUGCCCUACGGGUUGUAAACUUCUUUUAUAAAGGAAUAAAGUGAGGCACGUGUGCCUUUUUGUAUGUACUUUAUGAAUAAGGAUCGGCUAACUCCGUGCCAGCAGCCGCGGUAAUACGGAGGAUCCGAGCGUUAUCCGGAUUUAUUGGGUUUAAAGGGAGCGUAGAUGGGUUGUUAAGUCAGUUGUGAAAGUUUGCGGCUCAACCGUAAAAUUGCAAUUGAUACUGGCAGUCUUGAGUACAGUUGAGGUAGGCGGAAUUCGUGGUGUAGCGGUGAAAUGCUUAGAUAUCACGAAGAACUCCGAUUGCGAAGGCAGCUUACUAAACUGCCACUGACAUUGAUGCUCGAAAGUGUGGGUAUCAAACA
This 419-nucleotide ribosomal RNA is filed under the name uncultured bacterium. RNAcentral describes it as "bacterial SSU rRNA". It matches the Rfam family "Bacterial small subunit ribosomal RNA", at positions 358 to 774 of the family's 1533-position model. The record is from RNAcentral.